Molecule: long non-coding RNA, 1499 nt
Organism: Oncorhynchus tshawytscha (Chinook salmon)
Lineage: Eukaryota; Metazoa; Chordata; Actinopteri; Salmoniformes; Salmonidae
Source: Ensembl
CACUGUUGAAUUACAGUUUUAUUGGUUAUAAAACAAAUAAUAAAGUAUAAAUAAAUAACUUCCUAAAUCAGUUUCAAAGGUUUGGUGGCGUGGUCUGAUGAGACAUUUCACUGGUACCUGUUAGUUCUACAUUCGUAAUUUCAUUUCUGUCCAAAAACACAAAUUAGACCACAGGCCUAACUAUAUUCAACACUCUCCUCACAGUGGACGGGCACCACGUUGCAUAAUCAUCAUAAUAACAACAACAACAACAACAACAAAUUGGGAAAGGCAAUAAGAAAAACAUUAAACUUCAGAUUUGUGGAGCUCAUCACAAGUGAUUCCAGCACCUUCUCUGUCGUUGCCUGUGACGAGAGUAAGUGAAACUAACACUCAGUCGGACAAGUCCAUGUCAAUGAACAAUGUGAUAACGGUACGAUUGGACAAGAACGCUUGAGAGUCUUACAAUAGCUGUAGUUUUCUUUGAUAGGACAGUGGUUAAAGUUUGGUUCCUUAAUGUUUAGGCAUACUUAAAAAAACAAAUUCCUCAUCGUACAAUAACAAUGGGGGGGGGGAGGCUGCUUCAACAGAGGUCACAAUGUAUCAUAUUAAAUCAAGAAGAGAGGACACUGUACACAAAUACUGAAAAAUCAUUGUGAGAACUGGCUUGACAACUUAAAGACUGAGGGUAAAGUCAACAUGGAAGCACUAUAAUGUAAAUGACACAUGGUUAUAAAGAGCUGACAGACUGUUCAAAUGUCAUCCGUUUAUAAUCUCAAAUUACAAAAAGACGUUUGACUUUAUGACACAUCAACCCAAAAGACACAGUCCAGUCAUCCUCAAUGCGCUGGCUGAAAGGCUGCAUGCAACUUCACUAGAAAGGUAAGUGAUUUUAAUGUACAUCACUGGGGAUAGCUUGUCUUCCUCAGUCCCCUACAUCCCACACACCAGCAUUUACAGAAAUCAGGCACUUUUGGGGUAUAUCCUAAUCUGACAGCGCUCUCAUACAGGAAUAGCAUACAGGAGACCCUGGCUAGCGACACGGGGCAACUGACGCAUACCGAACAUAUUUUUGACAUCUUCAUCAACCCACAGGGACAUAGAGAGGUGGUUGGACUGUCUGUCCAGUCUGGACUUCUCCAAUCACCUCCACCUCUCCUUCAGUAUCUACUGCAACAUCGCUCCUCUGUCCAGUCUGGACUUCUCCAAUCACCUCCACCUCUCCUUCAGUAUCUACUGCAACAUCGCUCCUCUGUCCAGUCUGGACUUCUCCAAUCACCUCCACCUCUCCUUCAGUAUCUACUGCAACAUAGCUCCUCUGUCCAAUCUGGUCUCUCUGUCCAGUCUGUCCUGUCUGGACUUCUCCAAUCACCUCCACCUCUCCUUCAGUAUCUACUGCAACAUUGCUCCUCUGUCCAAUCUGGUCUCUCUGUCCAGUCUGUCCUGUCUGGACUUCUCCAAUCACCUCCACCUCUCCUUCAGUAUCUACUGCAACAUCGCUCCUCUGUCCAAUCUGGUCU